RNAcentral lists this ribosomal RNA (461 nucleotides) under uncultured bacterium. RNAcentral's name for it is "partial 16S ribosomal RNA". It matches the Rfam family "Bacterial small subunit ribosomal RNA", at positions 338 to 795 of the family's 1533-position model. The record is from RNAcentral.
ACUACGGGUGGCAGCAGUGAGGAAUAUUGGUCAAUGGACGCAAGUCUGAACCAGCCAUGCCGCGUGCAGGAAGACGGCUCUAUGAGUUGUAAACUGCUUUUGUACGAGGGUAAACGCAGAUACGCGUAUCUUUCUGAAAGUAUCGUACGAAUAAGGAUCGGCUAACUCCGUGCCAGCAGCCGCGGUAAUACGGGGGAUGCAAGCGUUAUCCGGAUUUAUUGGGUUUAAAGGGUGGGUAGGCUGUAGGGUAAGUCAGCUGGGAAAUGCCCCCGCUCAACGGGGUGAAGUGCCAUUGAUACUGCCGUGCUGGAAUGCGGAUGCCGUGGGAGGAAUGUGUGGUGUAGCGGUGAAAUGCAUAGAUAUCACACAGAACACCGAUUGCGAAGGCAUCUCACGAAGCCGCGAUUGACGCUGAUGCACGAAAGCGUGGGUAUCAAACAGGAUUAGAUACCCGUGUAGUC